RNAcentral lists this ribosomal RNA (460 nucleotides) under uncultured bacterium. Its description in RNAcentral is "partial 16S ribosomal RNA". It matches the Rfam family "Bacterial small subunit ribosomal RNA", at positions 338 to 795 of the family's 1533-position model. The record is from RNAcentral.
CCUACGGGGGGCAGCAGUGAGGAAUAUUGGUCAAUGGACGAGAGUCUGAACCAGCCAAGUAGCGUGAAGGAUGACUGCCCUAUGGGUUGUAAACUUCUUUUAUAUGGGAAUAAAACGUUCCACGUGUGGGAUUUUGUAUGUACCAUGUGAAUAAGGAUCGGCUAACUCCGUGCCAGCAGCCGCGGUAAUACGGAGGAUCCGAGCGUUAUCCGGAUUUAUUGGGUUUAAAGGGAGCGUAGGUGGAUUGUUAAGUCAGUUGUGAAAGUUUGCGGCUCAACCGUAAAAUUGCAGUUGAAACUGGCAGUCUUGAGUACAGUAGAGGUGGGCGGAAUUCGUGGUGUAGCGGUGAAAUGCUUAGAUAUCACGAAGAACUCCGAUUGCGAAGGCAGUUCACUGGACUGCAACUGACACUGAGGCUCGAAAGUGUGGGUAUCAAACAGGAUUAGAUACCCCAGUAGUC